Molecule: ribosomal RNA, 468 nt
Filed under: uncultured bacterium
Lineage: Bacteria
Description: partial 16S ribosomal RNA
Rfam family: Bacterial small subunit ribosomal RNA
Source: RNAcentral
GACGAACGCUGGCGGCGUGCUUAACACAUGCAAGUCGAACGGAAAGGCCCUGCUUUUGUGGGGUGCUCGAGUGGCGAACGGGUGAGUAACACGUGAGUAACCUGCCCUUGACUUUGGGAUAACUUCAGGAAACUGGGGCUAAUACCGGAUAGGAGCUCCUGCUGCAUGGUGGGGGUUGGAAAGUUUCGGCGGUUGGGGAUGGACUCGCGGCUUAUCAGCUUGUUGGUGGGGGAGUGGCUUACCAAGGCUUUGACGGGUAGCCGGCCUGAGAGGGUGACCGGCCACAUUGGGACUGAGAUACGGCCCAGACUCCUACGGGAGGCAGCAGUGGGGAAUAUUGCACAACGGGCGGAAGCCUGAUGCAGCAACGCCGCGUGCGGGAUGACGGCCUUCGGGUUGUAAACCGCUUUCGCCUGUGACGAAGCGUGAGUGACGGUAAUGGGUAAAGAAGCACCGGCUAACUACGUG